Molecule: ribosomal RNA, 497 nt
Filed under: uncultured bacterium
Lineage: Bacteria
Description: partial 16S ribosomal RNA
Rfam family: Bacterial small subunit ribosomal RNA
Source: RNAcentral
GAUGAACGCUGGCGGCGUGCCUAAUACAUGCAAGUCGAGCGAACGGACGAGAAGCUUGCUUCUCUGAUGUUAGCGGCUGACGUGUGAGUAACACGUGGAUAACCUACCUAUAAGACUGGGAUAACUUCGGGAAACCGGAGCUACUACCGGAUAAUAUUUUGAACCGCAUGGUUCAAAAGUGAAAGACGGUCUUUCUGUCUCUUAUAGAUGGAUCCGCGCUGCAUUAGCUAGUUGGUAAGGUAACGGCUUACCAAGGCAACGAUGCAUAGCCGACCUGAGAGGGUGAUAGGCCACACUGGAACUGAGACACGGUCCAGACUACUACGGGAGGCAGCAGAAGGGAAUAUUCCGCAAUGGGAGAAAGCCUGACGGAGCAAAGCCGCGUGAGUGAUGAAGGUCUUCGGAUCGUAAAAAUCUGUUAUUAGGGAAGAAAAUAUGUGUAAGUAACUGUGCACAUAGUGACGGUACCUAAUCAGAAAGCCACGGCUAACUACGUG